AGACAAGAUUUGCUAGAACUGAAAGGCAAGCAGCAGGUGUAGCGAUAAGCAAGGACUAAGAGACGACAGGCAAGAAUCGAGAGGCGAGAACCAAUAGGCAACUAGCGACCAAGAGAAUCGAAGGCAAUUGGUUAUGCACGAGGACCGAAGGCGACUAGCGACUAGCGACCGUAAAGACGAAGGCGACUAGCGACCGUAAAGACCAAGGCGACUCGAGUCGUCUCUAGGAAUUUUUGGACUUUUGUAAACAGAAACAUAAUGAAGGUUCAAGAUUCUGUUUUUUUGUUUCUCUGGG
This 295-nucleotide unclassified non-coding RNA is filed under the name Hevea brasiliensis (rubber tree). The record is from RNAcentral. Lineage: Eukaryota; Viridiplantae; Streptophyta; Magnoliopsida; Malpighiales; Euphorbiaceae.